Molecule: ribosomal RNA, 566 nt
Filed under: uncultured cyanobacterium
Lineage: Bacteria; Bacillati; Cyanobacteriota
Description: bacterial SSU rRNA
Rfam family: Bacterial small subunit ribosomal RNA
Source: RNAcentral
AGUACGCACGCAAGUGUGAAACUCAAAGGAAUUGACGGGGGCCCGCACAAGCGGUGGAGUAUGUGGUUUAAUUCGAUGCAACGCGAAGAACCUUACCAGGGCUUGACAUGUCGCGAAUCCCCUUGAAAGGGGGGAGUGCCUUCGGGAGCGCGAGCACAGGUGGUGCAUGGCUGUCGUCAGCUCGUGUCGUGAGAUGUUGGGUUAAGUCCCGCAACGAGCGCAACCCACGUUUCUAGUUGCCAGCAUUCAGUUGGGCACUUUAGAGAGACUGCCGGUGACAAACCGGAGGAAGGUGUGGAUGACGUCAAGUCAGCAUGCCCCUUACGUCCUGGGCUACACACGUACUACAAUGCUUCGGACAGAGGGUUGCCAGCCCGCGAGGGUGCGCUAAUCCCGUAAACCGAGGCUCAGUUCAGAUUGCAGGCUGCAACUCGCCUGCAUGAAGGCGGAAUCGCUAGUAAUCGCCGGUCAGCAUACGGCGGUGAUACGUUCCCGGGCCUUGUACACACCGCCCGUCACACCAUGGGAGUUGGCCACGCCCGAAGUUGUACCCUAACCUUCGGGAG